This 219-nucleotide long non-coding RNA is filed under the name Ananas comosus (pineapple). Its description in RNAcentral is "long non-coding RNA (ACOM_LNC019316)". Lineage: Eukaryota; Viridiplantae; Streptophyta; Magnoliopsida; Poales; Bromeliaceae. The record is from RNAcentral.
UCGAUCGUCAUUUUUUUUUUUUUUGAGAGAUAGAUAGCACGUUAUCCGCUUCGUUUAUUUCAUUUAGAAAUAAACUUAGCUGAAAAAAUAAAUCAACUAGGAUUCGAACUUGGGACUUCAGAUACCAACCAGCAAGUCCUUUACCAUUUGCUCUAGGGACGGUCGGUUACAUUGAUUGCCAUUAAUGUUUCAUUCUAGUUAUAUUCAUAUAUAUUUCAC